Molecule: ribosomal RNA, 443 nt
Filed under: uncultured bacterium
Lineage: Bacteria
Description: partial 16S ribosomal RNA
Rfam family: Bacterial small subunit ribosomal RNA
Source: RNAcentral
CCUACGGGAGGCAGCAGUGGGGAAUAUUGGGCAAUGGGCGCAAUCCUGACCCAGCAACGCCGCGUGAAGGAAGAAGGCUUUCGGGUUGUAAACUUCUUUUCUCAGGGACGAAGCAAGUGACGGUACCUGAGGAAUAAGCCACGGCUAACUACGUGCCAGCAGCCGCGGUAAUACGUAGGUGGCAAGCGUUAUCCGGAUUUACUGGGUGUAAAGGGUGUGUAGGCGGGGACGCAAGUCAGAUGUGAAAACCAUGGGCUCAACCUGUGGCCUGCAUUUGAACCUGUGUUUCUUGAGUACUGGAGAGGCAGACGGAAUUCGUGGUGUAGCGGUGAAAUGCGUAGAUAUUAGGAGGAACACCAGUGGCGAAGGCGGUCUGCUGGACAGCAACUGACGCUGAGGCGCGAAAGCGUGGGGAGCAAACAGGAUUAGAUACCCGUGUAGUC